GACGAACGCUGGCGGCGUGCUUAACACAUGCAAGUCGAACGGAAAGGCCCUGCUUUUGUGGGGUGCUCGAGUGGCGAACGGGUGAGUAACACGUGAGUAACCUGCCCUUGACUUUGGGAUAACUUCAGGAAACUGGGGCUAAUUCCGGAUAGGAGCUCCUGCUGCAUGGUGGGGGUUGGAAAGUUUCGGCGGUUGGGGAUGGACUCGCGGCUUAUCAGCUUGUUGGUGGGGUAGUGGCUUACCAAGGCUUUGACGGGUAGCCGGCCUGAGAGGGUGGCCGGCCACAUUGGGACUGAGAUACGGCCCAGACUCCUACGGGAGGCAGCAGUGGGGAAUAUUGCACAAUGGGCGGAAGCCUGAUGCAGCAACGCCGCGUGCGGGAUGACGGCCUUCGGGUUGUAAACCGCUUUCGCCUGUGACGAAGCGUGAGUGACGGUAAUGGGUAAAGAAGCACCGGCUAACUACGUG
This 468-nucleotide ribosomal RNA is filed under the name uncultured bacterium. RNAcentral describes it as "partial 16S ribosomal RNA". It matches the Rfam family "Bacterial small subunit ribosomal RNA", at positions 28 to 507 of the family's 1533-position model. The record is from RNAcentral.